RNAcentral lists this ribosomal RNA (242 nucleotides) under uncultured bacterium. RNAcentral describes it as "partial 16S ribosomal RNA". It matches the Rfam family "Bacterial small subunit ribosomal RNA", at positions 96 to 334 of the family's 1533-position model. The record is from RNAcentral.
UGGCGAACGGGUGAGUAACGCGUGAGUAACCUGCCCUGGAGUGGGGGACAACAGUUGGAAACGACUGCUAAUACCGCAUAAGCCCACGAUCCGGCAUCGGAUUGAGGGAAAAGGAGUUUAAUUCGCUUCAGGAUGGACUCGCGUCCAAUUAGCUGGUUGGUGAGGUAACGGCCCACCAAGGCGACGAUUGGUAGCCGGACUGAGAGGUUGAACGGCCACAUUGGGACUGAGACACGGCCCAG